Molecule: long non-coding RNA, 539 nt
Organism: Musa acuminata AAA Group (dessert banana)
Lineage: Eukaryota; Viridiplantae; Streptophyta; Magnoliopsida; Zingiberales; Musaceae
Exons: 3
Source: RefSeq, a predicted model, not a curated record
GUUUGGGUCUCUAUGCCAUAUAACCAGGUGGGAACCUCAGAUUCCAAAGAUCCCAAUGAUCAAACAAGCUCUAGCAAGGACGGUGAUAACUCAUGGUGGAGGGGCUCUUCUUUGGAGAAGGGGAAGGUGAAGGUGAAAAGGAAGAUGAGGGAGCCAAGGUUCUGCUUCCAAACAAGAAGCGAUGUGGAUGUCCUAGACGAUGGGUACAAGUGGAGGAAAUAUGGGCAAAAAGUGGUGAAGAACAGCCUCCAUCCCAGAAGCUACUACCGCUGCACCCACAACAACUGCAGAGUGAAGAAAAGAGUCGAGCGACUGUCGGAGGACUGUCGAAUGGUCAUCACCACGUACGAGGGUAGACACACCCAUUCUCCCUGCGACGAUGAGAACUCUUCCGAACAUGAAUGUUUCAGUUCAUUUUAGGAAGUCGACCCACGUAGAAUGCGUUGUUACUACGUGAGUUCUCUUCGGAAGUAUCUGAAGGACCAUCAUGAAUAAUGGAUGUUGCUCAAGCUUUGUGUCUCUGAGAGGAUCGAGUCUUG